RNAcentral lists this unclassified non-coding RNA (1914 nucleotides) under uncultured fungus. Its description in RNAcentral is "sequence contains 18S rRNA gene, ITS1, 5.8S rRNA gene, ITS2, 28S rRNA gene". The stretch from base 779 to 1914 matches the Rfam family "Eukaryotic large subunit ribosomal RNA", at positions 1 to 961 of the family's 3401-position model. The record is from RNAcentral. Lineage: Eukaryota; Fungi.
GGAUGGAUCAUGUAACAAAACGCGUGCGCAAACGCACCGGCGACGAUAGUGCUGUGACUGUGCCCGAUUUAACGAUUGUGGCAUGGGCAGAGCGUUAUGGUCGCCUAUCGCGUCGCGCAUACAAACACCCACUCGUACGUGGUUUCUGUUCAUGGGCGUUGUCGCCGCGCCACCGCGGCGCGUGCGAUGGUUCCCAUGCUUUAUAUACUCUAUUGAAACUCCAUGUUCUCAUUACUCUGAAUCACUAAAAAAAGAACCAAAAACAACUUUCAACAACGGAUGUCUUGGUUCCCGCAUCGAUGAAGAACGCCGCGAAAUGCGAUACUUAAUGUGAAACGCAACGCAGUGUGAAUCAUCAAGGUUUCGAACGCACAUUGCGCUGUUAGGGUCUUCCCUGACAGCAUGCCUGUUUGAGCAUCGUUUCAAACCCUCAACACACCUCCCCUCGCGGUGGUGCGUUGGACGCUGAGCGCCCCACCCUCUUCGCAAGAAGUCGGGGUGGGCCGCUUGAAAUGGAGAUCCCUUUCUGGACGCCGCGCCGCAACGCGCCGUCGCCGCCGGCUCUUCGGAGCCGCGACGGCGGCGCGUAGCGUGACUGUGCCGCGCCUCCUGUGCUGUGACGAAUCGCGUGCCUCGUGCGCGUGUUUUCCCUCGACACUCGAGUGCCCGUGCGCUGGUCUCUUUGUGCAGCUUCACCGACUAAAACCCAAAGGAAAGGACCGAGACCACACGACUAACGUCGCAGAGGCGCUCGCCGCCGCUGCUGCGUCUAUACUCGCGAUCUCAAAUCAGGCAAGACCACCCGCUGAACUUAAGCAUAUCAAUAAGCGGAGGAAAAGAAACUAACCAGGAAGCCCUUAGUAACUGCGAGUGAAGCGGGCAAAGCUCAAAUUUCAAAUCUGCGUCUCGUAACGGGGGCGUCGAAUUGUAGUUUAUAGGGGCGUUCAAGGUGGUGCGCCGGACAUAAGUGUUCAGGAACGGACCGUCAGAGAGGGUGACAACCCCGUCUGUGGCCCGGCGUUGCACUGCCGAAACGAAGUGAACGUUUCCUACGAGUCGGGUUGUUUGGGAAUACAGCCUUAAUUGGGUGGUAGAUGCCAUCUAAAGCUAACUUAUCUGCGGGAGACCGAUAGCGAACAAGUAGCGUGAGCGAAAGAUGAAAAGCACUUUGGAAAGAGAGGCAACAGGACCUGAAAUUGUUGAAAGGGAAGGGAUUGAAAUCAGAAGUUACCCAGCGGAGAUUCGUUUGUUCGCGCAGGUGCCCCGUGGCGUGGCCGAGCCCCAAAGCCGGUGCGUUACGGGUCGUUGUCUGCGCGGAUGGGUUAUUUCUUCGUUGGGUAGGCCAAUAUCAGUUUGUGACGCGGAACAAUACCGGUGGGAAGGUAGGGCAGGAGCCGCGUACGCGGCCCUUCCUGUUAUAGCCCGCCGGGGAUUCCGCGCCGCAGACUGAGGAAAGCCCUUGCGGUGCGCCAUGCACGCGCCUCGGCGAGACCCCUUAUGGGAAGCCUGUCAAAGGGCUAUGCCCGGUGGGAGGGUCGUCGGCGUGCACAGGAUAUUGGCGAAUUGGUUUCCAUCCACCCGUCUUGAAACACGGACCAAGGAGUCCACCGUCUACGCGAGUAUUUGGGUGGCAAACCCGAGUGCGCAAUGAAAGUGAAGGCGUCAGUGGGCGCUGAGAUGGGACGGCCGCCGCGAAGGCGGCCCGCACCACCGGCCGAUCUGGAUUCCUCGCGAUGAAAGGUUUGAGCAAGAGCGUAGCCGAUGGGACCCGAAAGAUGGUGAACUUUGCCUGGGUAGGUUGAAGUCAGUGGAAACACUGAUGGAGGACCGUAGAGAUACUGACGUGCAAAUCGUUCUUCAGACCUGGGUAAAGGGGCGAAAGACUAAUCGAACCAUCUAGUAGCUGGUUCCCUC